RNAcentral lists this ribosomal RNA (528 nucleotides) under bacterium A5M_VP8_G2. RNAcentral's name for it is "bacterial SSU rRNA". It matches the Rfam family "Bacterial small subunit ribosomal RNA", at positions 337 to 856 of the family's 1533-position model. The record is from RNAcentral.
UACUACGGGAGGCAGCAGUAGGGAAUCUUCCGCAAUGGACGAAAGUCUGACGGAGCAACGCCGCGUGAGUGAUGAAGGCUUUCGGGUCGUAAAACUCUGUUGUUAGGGAAGAACAAGUGCUAGUUGAAUAAGCUGGCACCUUGACGGUACCUAACCAGAAAGCCACGGCUAACUACGUGCCAGCAGCCGCGGUAAUACGUAGGUGGCAAGCGUUAUCCGGAAUUAUUGGGCGUAAAGCGCGCGCAGGUGGUUUCUUAAGUCUGAUGUGAAAGCCCACGGCUCAACCGUGGAGGGUCAUUGGAAACUGGGAGACUUGAGUGCAGAAGAGGAAAGUGGAAUUCCAUGUGUAGCGGUGAAAUGCGUAGAGAUAUGGAGGAACACCAGUGGCGAAGGCGACUUUCUGGUCUGUAACUGACACUGAGGCGCGAAAGCGUGGGGAGCAAACAGGAUUAAAUACCCUGGUAGUCCACCCCUAAACGAUAAGUGCUAAGUGUUAAAGGGUUUCCGCCCUUUAGGGCUGAAGUUAAC